RNAcentral lists this ribosomal RNA (646 nucleotides) under Coilia dussumieri. RNAcentral's name for it is "partial 12S ribosomal RNA". It matches the Rfam family "Bacterial small subunit ribosomal RNA", at positions 556 to 1502 of the family's 1533-position model. The record is from RNAcentral. Lineage: Eukaryota; Metazoa; Chordata; Actinopteri; Clupeiformes; Engraulidae.
CGGCGUAAAGAGUGGUUAUGGAACUAAAAAACUAAAGCCGAAAGCCCAUUAGACUGUCAUACGCACCUAUGAGCCAGAACCCCAAUAAACGAAAGUAGCUUUAUCAACGACCACCAGAGCCCACGACAGCCAAGACACAAACUGGGAUUAGAUACCCCACUAUGCUUAGCCAUAAACCUUGAUGUCCCCAUACAAAGACAUCCGCCAGGGAACUACGAGCACCAGCUUAAAACCCAAAGGACUUGGCGGUGCCCCAGACCCCCCUAGAGGAGCCUGUUCUAGAACCGAUAACCCCCGUUAAACCUCACCACUUCUCGCCUAUUCCGCCUAUAUACCACCGUCGCCAGCUUACCCUGUGAAGGCAAAAAAGUAAGCGAAAUGAAAAUUUCCCAAAACGUCAGGUCGAGGUGUAGCAUACGAAGUGGGAAGAAAUGGGCUACAUUUCCUGACUCAGGAUAUUCACGGAAAGUCACCUGAAACGGUCACUCAAAGGUGGAUUUAGCAGUAAAAAAGGAAUAGAGUGCCUUUUUGAAACCGGCUCUGAGGCGCGCACACACCGCCCGUCACUCUCCCCAACCAACCCACCACUAAAGUAAAUAACACCUUAUAAAAUAACAAGGGGAGGCAAGUCGUAACAUGGUAAGUA